CUCCCUUGACCGUUGCCUGGUUAGGUUUCCCAAACUAGCUCUUCCAGUGAUGCCGUCUCUCCCUCCAUCUUCUCCUGGAGUUUGCAUUAGCGCCCCCAUUUUGCAGAUGGGGAAGCUAAGGCCCACGGAGGGAAAGGUGCAUUCUCGAGGUACCCAGCACCCCAGUGUUAGGCCUGUAUCUCCUUCCCCGAGGCCCUUGUUCACCCUCCACCUCUGGGCACUGGGCCCUUCCUGCAGCUUCACUAGAGUCUCCUGCUGCUGCCGUCACCCCAAGAGUCAUUCCCCACCCACAGGCAGAUGAAGAGGCCCCAGCUGCCCUCUGAAAGCACAGGGCUGGCUUCUUUGCAUCCUCACCAUGCAGCCCUCCUGGCCAGCCCCAGGGCUCAGUGCCUGGCACCCACCUGAUGUGCCAGGAGGAGAGACCAGGCCAGGUAGGGAAACUGGAUACCCAAAGCUCAGGUUCUUACCAGCUCCAGAUCAGAUGCUUUGGGAGGUGGCAAGCUCUAGAAAGUGUGCAGAGGAGGGGCAGCUGAGGGUUCUUACCUGCUGGCCCCUCAGGACUGGGGUGCAGCUCCCUCCCCAGGCCUCGCAGUUCCAUAUUUGGACAAGAGCAGCUGCUGGUCCAGAGCCUUUCAUGGGGAGAGGGCCAGGCCUGGGGUGGGGAGACCCAGUGUUUGUCCAGGCCAUGUGUAAGCAGUGGGUCUGGGGGCCGCCUCUGGGGUGGGGCACCUGGUAUGACAAUCAGUGACAGGAAGCCUGGACCAGCUCCCCUACCCAUCGCCAAGGCUUGGGAUCUAUUCCUAGUGCCCCACUCAGGAGGGAACAGGUUGAGCCCGGGGAUCAGAGAGACCAAGGGCUCAAGAGAUUUAGGUCUCACCCCUUAGUAGGGAGGGACUCCCUAGCAAGCAAUCGGAGCGUGGGGGCAGUCCCAGGCGGGGGAACUGAGCUCCCCGUCUUUGCAGGCAGCACAGCAGCUGUCCAGGGUGAUAGAGGGGGUCCCUGUCCUGUGGAAGGUUCCUGUCACAGAGAGCCUGUCACCACAUGGGGCACACCUCCCUCAUUGGACCAACAAACCCCCCUCUCCUUGCUCGUUUAUUAUUUUGAGAUGGAGUCUUGCUCUGUCACCCAGCUUGGAGGGCAGUACUGCGACCUCGGCUCACUGCAACCUCUGCCUCCUGGGUUCAAGGGAUUCUCCUGCCUCAGUCUCCCGAGUAACUGGGACUACAGGUGUGUGCUACCAUGCCCGGCUAGUUUUUGUAUUUGUAGUAGAGAUGGGGUUUCACUAUGUUGGCCAGGCUGGUCUCGAACUCCUGACCUCAGGUGAUCUGCCCACCUCGGCCUCCCACAGUGCUGAGAUCACAGA
This 1363-nucleotide long non-coding RNA is filed under the name Homo sapiens (human). Its description in RNAcentral is "HSALNT0176497". The record is from RNAcentral. Lineage: Eukaryota; Metazoa; Chordata; Mammalia; Primates; Hominidae.